RNAcentral lists this ribosomal RNA (250 nucleotides) under uncultured bacterium. Its description in RNAcentral is "partial 16S ribosomal RNA". It matches the Rfam family "Bacterial small subunit ribosomal RNA", at positions 524 to 776 of the family's 1533-position model. The record is from RNAcentral.
UACGGGCGGAACAAGUGUUAUUCAAAAUGAUUGGGCGUAAGGUGCAUGUAGGCUGUCGAUAAAGUUUGAAUAUAAUGACUUUGGGCGACCAGAGUAGACAAAAAUACUGAUCGACUGGAGUAUCGUAGAGGAUAGUGGAACUUCUAGGGAAGAGAUUAAAUUCAUAGAUCCUAGAAAGAACAUCGAUUGCCGAGGCAGCUAUCUAGACGAGUACUGACGCUGAGAUGCGAAAGCAUGGGGAGCAAACAGG